This 440-nucleotide ribosomal RNA is filed under the name uncultured bacterium. RNAcentral's name for it is "partial 16S ribosomal RNA". It matches the Rfam family "Bacterial small subunit ribosomal RNA", at positions 338 to 795 of the family's 1533-position model. The record is from RNAcentral.
CCUACGGGUGGCAGCAGUGGGGGAUAUUGCACAAUGGGGGAAACCCUGAUGCAGCGACGCCGCGUGAGUGAUGAAGUAUUUCUGUAUGUAAAGCUCUAUCAGCAGGGGAGAAAAUGACAGUACCUGACCAAGAAGCCCCGUCUAACUACGUGCCAGCAGCCGCGGUAAUACGUAGGGGGCAGGCGUUAUCCGGAUUUACUGGGUGUAAAGGGAGCGUAGGCGGUUAUGUAAGUCUGGAGUGAAAGCCCGGGGCUCAACCCCGGGACUGCUUUGGAAACUGGGUAACUGGAGUACGGGAGGGGUAGGCGGAAUUCGUGGUGUAGCGGUGAAAUGCGUAGAUAUCAGGAGGAACACCGGUGGCGAAGGCGGCCUGCUGGACUGAAACUGACGUUGAGGCUCGAAAGCGUGGGGAGCAAACAGGAUUAGAUACCCUUGUAGUC